GGGCGAUUAGCUCAGGUGGCUAGAGCGUUUGCUUGACAUGCAAGAGGUCGCUGGUUCAAGUCCAGCAUCGCCCA
This 74-nucleotide transfer RNA is filed under the name Candidatus Poribacteria bacterium. RNAcentral describes it as "tRNA-Val". It matches the Rfam family "tRNA". From Rfam's summary of the family: Transfer RNA (tRNA) molecules are approximately 80 nucleotides in length. The record is from RNAcentral. Lineage: Bacteria; Candidatus Poribacteria.